Molecule: transfer RNA, 75 nt
Filed under: Chitinophaga niastensis
Lineage: Bacteria; Pseudomonadati; Bacteroidota; Chitinophagia; Chitinophagales; Chitinophagaceae
Rfam family: tRNA
About the family: Transfer RNA (tRNA) molecules are approximately 80 nucleotides in length. Their secondary structure includes four short double-helical elements and three loops (D, anti-codon, and T loops). Further hydrogen bonds mediate the characteristic L-shaped molecular structure. tRNAs have two regions of fundamental functional importance: the anti-codon, which is responsible for specific mRNA codon recognition, and the 3' end, to which the tRNAs corresponding amino acid is attached (by aminoacyl-tRNA synthetases). tRNAs cope with the degeneracy of the genetic code in two manners: having more than one tRNA (with a specific anti-codon) for a particular amino acid; and 'wobble' base-pairing, i.e. permitting non-standard base-pairing at the 3rd anti-codon position.
Source: Rfam by way of RNAcentral
AGCGUUGUAGCUCAAUGGAUGAGCAACCCAUUUUUAUUUAGGGGAAGGGCAUGAGUUCAAUUCUCAUCAACGGUA